RNAcentral lists this long non-coding RNA (2920 nucleotides) under Bombyx mandarina (wild silkworm). Its description in RNAcentral is "uncharacterized LOC114240498, transcript variant X2". The record is from RNAcentral. Lineage: Eukaryota; Metazoa; Arthropoda; Insecta; Lepidoptera; Bombycidae.
UCUGUUUCUGCUCCGAAGCAGUAAUGCGUUCCGAUUUGAAAGGCUCUGAGCAGCCUUUCUACUAUACAAUUGACAUCUAAGCUAUUUGCUCUAGUAACCAGUUAAACAAUGCCGUGAGAUCCUUCACCAGGCUCUCCGAUUAAAAAGAAAUACAAAACGUUGACUUUUCGAUCCUAGGACUCUGGAAUUUAUGAACUUAUAAAACGAGAUGCGUCUGUAAAAGACCCUUGUCCAAUGUUCAAAUGUAUUUCACUAGAUUUCGAACGUGAAGAAGUUUACAAGAUUAAUUUAGCACUCAAUACAUUACGCAUUGCCUUACAUUCCCGACUAAACAACUGAUUGUAGUCGAAAUAGAACCUUCGGAGAAGUUUAAUUUUGUUGAUAACAGAAUUUUCUUGCCUACAAACCCGCAACCAAAAAUGUUUUCAUAUGCAGAACAGCGGUCAAGACUAUAACCCUUGAUUUUCUGAUUUUCUUUUAUCUCAAAACCAUAUAACAAUUACAUAAAUUACAGAAUGCAGAAGAUCCACUUUGUUAAUAUGUGUACAUGGAUUAAAUGUAAUCUGUCGACUUCACUCUUUGUUUAAGUACGAAUUCAUUUUAUAAUAUUCAUUCUGGAAAAUAAAUCUCAACUAAACUGUGCAUUCUUUUGUUGCAGAUAACUUUGAUUUGUAUAUUGAUGUACCAUAACAUAAUGUAUAAUGUUACUCUAAACAAGAACAGACAGUUUAAAUAAACCACUUUUAUUGGUAUCAUACUAUGGCUUGUACAAUCAGAAUUACGCGUGAGAAUGCCCUAAACCAAAUCUAUAGGGCUAAACAAUAGAUACAAACCAAUGUCCGGCGUAAUAAAUAAAAGCAAUUGCUUGACUUCAUUAUGAGUGAAUAAAGAAUAUAAAAUAAUGAAAUGGACAGAGAAUAGAUACGAACUAAGACAACUUGGGAGGGAGAAAACAGACGGCGAAGAAGCACUAAGAAAAAUUCAAAUGAUCAUCGAUCUAUUGCUAAAUGCUCAUAAUCGAAAUGAGAUUAACAAUACACGUACCACAACCUACUAGUAAUCAAUUUACGAACUUGCAGUUAUCGGAGGACGUGGAGAUGUAACUACAUUUUAUCGUUGAAAUCGAAUAUCUUCUUCGCGCCUUAACUAGGCGUGGCUGAAGGCUGCCUGAUACCGGAAAUUUUGAAAAUCUGGCCCAGGUCAGGAAAAUAGACGAUUUGGCCAUUAAAUAGUCACAUCCUUGAAAUCGGAAAAUUUUAAUAAGGUAUCUAGUGUACAUUGGAAACCUGCCUCAAUUGUUUCAACACCUGUUAAGGCGAUGUUGACGCUUGCGAGAUCUGCCGAUCCGACCAAACUGCCGCCGGCGCAGUUCAUCCAAUAAUUACCCGGUGUCACCAUCAUAUGAAGUAAAAUAAUCAACUACCAUCAACAAGAUAAUGUUUAUUUAAAAUAAACGAUCAUGAAAGUCGACGCAUUUGACGUGCGACACAAUUUAAGAAUGUAACUAUUGUACUUCGACGCAUAUUGUCUUGAAGAACAAUUACGUUCUUUUCACAUUUUUUCCAGACUACCAUUACUACCUAUUUCAUAUUUUUUUUAGUUUAUUGAAUAUUCCAGAAUAAUUUGAUUGAUUGGCACAUCAAAUCACUGUAACUAUAGGACGUUAAUAUUUACGCCCCGGGGUGUAAGUGGCUAAACUACCAACAAUCUAGCCAAAGCCAACCUCACCUGCCCGCGGUGCACCCUGCCGACCAACGAACGAGGCUCUGGCAACCUUCCCCUCCCCCUUUCCCCUUUUCCUUCUGUUCUCUUUUAUCCAAAUUCAACUAUUUCUUACACAUUGUAUUCUUGACGUCUCUAAAGUGACAGUAUGCGCCGAAUGAUACUCAAUAAUAUUGUCGUCUCAGCCACAUCCUACAUUGCUGCCACGUAUAGUUGGUUACGAUUAACAAAAUGUACUAAGAUCGUAUCGUAGUCGUACUAUCAUCAAAACAAUACAGUGCAAAUGAGAUUUUAGACGCGAUCGAAACAUGAAGCGACGUCCGGUGAGAAGAGUCAUUUGCGCUAAGUACUGAAUUAACUAAAGAAUUCUGCGAACUAAUGAAAUUGUUAAGAAUGUAUACGAUACACAGUUUAUACUUUUGUUAUGUUUUUCAAUCUUUCCUUUCUUGUUUUCUCCCCUCGCCUUCUUCCUACCAGCUAUCCCUGUCUCUACCAGCAGAGUCAAACUUGAAGUCCUACUCCUACCUAAACUUUUCAAAAACAAGGCAGCGAUAUGAGAUUCGUCGCACAUUUGUUUCUGAAAAAGCGAGGAGAACGGAACGUGUGUAUUUACCACCUAAAACGCACUUGUUUAGAUGUUACGAAUGUAACUGGGAGAGUGAAGAACUCUGGUAAUGUUAUCUGGAAUGUCACGAGUCUAAGCUAUUGUUUGUCUGCGUAGACUGCGAUUCACGUUUUAGAUAACAUUGAUUGGCUUGUUUUGAUCGACAACGGCGACACAUCUCGUUUCCUGGUUGUUGUAGUUGUAAGGUGUUCUGUGAACGUGCUGUAAAUUAGGUUUAAGAAUAACCAAGUAACUGGACGUGCCGUAGUACGAACUCGUUUCGAAGAUGUUAUCACAAUCAUUCUAAACUUGUCCGCACGUCGUUGGUUUGUAUCUCUAGAAGCCACUUUCGUCCUCGCGACGAUUAUUGUUAUUAUAAAUUGUGAUCGGUAUACGUGCGUUCUUCUACUAAACACAUAUACCGAUCAUCCUAUUUCGGCAAUUUCAAAAUUUGCUGAUAUGGCACACAUAAAAUGUAUUUCUCUAUAGCGUAAUGCAUCAAAUGUAAGUAAAGCUUUUCCCCAGUUUGAUGAUUGAUGCGAUCAAUCAUUUUGCUCCGCGUGAGCUGCGCUAAAUAAAUAAAUAAAAAUUCAA